UGGGGAAUAUUGGACAAUGGGCGAAAGCCUGAUCCAGCCAUGCCGCGUGUGUGAAGAAGGUCUUCGGAUUGUAAAGCACUUUAAGUUGGGAGGAAGGGCAGUAAGUUAAUACCUUGCUGUUUUGACGUUACCGACAGAAUAAGCACCGGCUAACUCUGUGCCAGCAGCCGCGGUAAUACAGAGUGGUGACAAGCUAGUUGAAUUCGGAAUUACUGGGCGUAAAGCGCGCGUAGGUGGUUUGUUAAGUUGGAUGUGAAAGCCCCAGGGCUGCAACCUGGGAACUGCAUCCAAAACUGGCAAGCUAGAGUACGGUAGAGGGUGGUGGAAUUUCCUGUGUAGCGGUGAAAUGCGUAGAUAUAGGAAGGAACACCAGUGGCGAAGGCGACCACCUGGACUGAUACUGACACUGAGGUGCGAAAGCGU
RNAcentral lists this ribosomal RNA (423 nucleotides) under uncultured Pseudomonas sp. Its description in RNAcentral is "bacterial SSU rRNA". It matches the Rfam family "Bacterial small subunit ribosomal RNA", at positions 355 to 762 of the family's 1533-position model. Lineage: Bacteria; Pseudomonadati; Pseudomonadota; Gammaproteobacteria; Pseudomonadales; Pseudomonadaceae. The record is from RNAcentral.